Molecule: non-coding RNA, 142 nt
Filed under: Desulfosporosinus youngiae
Lineage: Bacteria; Bacillati; Bacillota; Clostridia; Eubacteriales; Desulfitobacteriaceae
Also listed under: 1 other name
Description: MoCo sequence
Rfam family: Molybdenum/Tungsten riboswitch aptamer (Moco RNA motif)
Source: RNAcentral
AUAAUAGGUCUUUUCCGUGUUCUGACAGCUAAAAGGAUAACUCAUGCUGUCAGAACCUGAGUCUGAACUUUACGGGCUCACGGGGUUAUGAUUGGAAACGGUCUAACCUUCACUUUUGAGAAGGAAAAGCUGCGGCAGAAGA